ACCAGCUCUUCAAGUGGUCGGGAUAAUUAUUGGGCUUAAAGUGUCCGUAGCCGGUUUAGUAAGUUCCUGGUAAAAUCGGGUAGCUUAACUAUCUGCAUGCUAGGAAUACUGCUAUACUAGAGGGUGGGAGAGGUCUGAGGUACUACAGGGGUAGGGGUGAAAUCUUAUAAUCCUUGUAGGACCACCAGUGGCGAAGGCGUCAGACUGGAACGCGCCUGACGGUGAGGGACGAAAGCCAGGGGAGCGAACCGGAUUAGAUACCCGGGUAGUCCUGGCCGUAAACGAUGCAUACUAGGUGAUGGCACGGCCAUGAGCCAUGUCAGUGCCGUAGGGAAACCGUUAAGUGUGCCGCCUGGGAAGUACGGUCGCAAGGCUAAAACUUAAAGGAAUUGGCGGGGAGCACCACAAGGGGUGAAGCCUGCGGUUU
Molecule: ribosomal RNA, 427 nt
Filed under: uncultured archaeon
Lineage: Archaea
Description: bacterial SSU rRNA
Rfam family: Archaeal small subunit ribosomal RNA
Source: RNAcentral